GACGAACGCUGGCGGCGUGCUUAACACAUGCAAGUCGAACGGAAAGGCCCUGCUUGCAGUGUUCGCGAGUGGAGAACGGGAGAGUAACACGAGUGUGAUGUGCCCCUUACUGGGGGAUAAGCCGGGAAAACUGGGUAUAAUACUGUAGAGGACCAUGCUGUAUGGGGGGUGGUGGAAAGCUUAGGUGCGGUAGGGGGUGAGCUCGCGUCCUAUCAGCGUGUUGGUGGGGUAAGGGCCUACCAAGGCGGCGACGGGUAGCCGGCCUGAGAGGGUGGAAGGGGACAUUGUGACUGAGAUACGGCGCAGACUCCUACGCGAGGCAGCAGUGGGGAAUAUUGUACAAUGGGCGUAAGCGUGAUGUAGAGACGCGGCGUGGGGGAUGACGGCGUUCUGGUUGUAAAAUCCUUUCAGCGAUGACGAAGAGCUUGUGGUGACGGUAGUGGUAGAAGAAGCACCGGCUAACUACGUG
This 469-nucleotide ribosomal RNA is filed under the name uncultured bacterium. RNAcentral's name for it is "partial 16S ribosomal RNA". It matches the Rfam family "Bacterial small subunit ribosomal RNA", at positions 28 to 507 of the family's 1533-position model. The record is from RNAcentral.